Molecule: non-coding RNA, 185 nt
Organism: Xenopus laevis (African clawed frog)
Lineage: Eukaryota; Metazoa; Chordata; Amphibia; Anura; Pipidae
Source: Rfam
AUCGCUUCUUGGCCUUUUGGCUAAGAUCAAGUGUAGUAUCUCUGGAGAAACACUUGAUUCUCUGGCCAGGGGCUGAAGCUUCAUGAAAGUCCGGGGUAUUGUGCCCCUUAAGGGGGUGCUUGACUCAUGACUGGGUCAAGCACAUCUGCACAAUGCUUUUUUUAGCACUGAUUUAUACACUUUUU